AUUGAACGCUGGCGGCAUGAUUUACACAUGCAAGUCGAACGGUAGCAGGCCGCCAGGUGCUGACGAGUGGCGAACGGGUGAGUAAUGCAUCGGAACGUGCCCAGUCGUGGGGGAUAACUACUCGAAAGAGUAGCUAAUACCGCAUACGAUCUAUGGAUGAAAGCGGGGGACCGUAAGGCCUCGCGCGAUUGGAGCGGCCGAUGUCAGAUUAGGUAGUUGGUGGGGUAAAGGCUCACCAAGCCAACGAUCUGUAGCUGGUCUGAGAGGACGACCAGCCACACUGGGACUGAGACACGGCCCAGACUCCUACGGGAGGCAGCAGUGGGGAAUUUUGGACAAUGGGCGCAAGCCUGAUCCAGCAAUGCCGCGUGCAGGAAGAAGGCCUUCGGGUUGUAAACUGCUUUUGUACGGAACGAAACGGCUCUGGUUAAUACCCGGGGCUAAUGACGGUACCGUAAGAAUAAGCACCGGCUAACUACGUG
RNAcentral lists this ribosomal RNA (482 nucleotides) under uncultured bacterium. RNAcentral describes it as "partial 16S ribosomal RNA". It matches the Rfam family "Bacterial small subunit ribosomal RNA", at positions 30 to 507 of the family's 1533-position model. The record is from RNAcentral.